Zea mays is the source of this 606-nucleotide long non-coding RNA. RefSeq lists it as uncharacterized. NCBI's taxonomy places the organism in Eukaryota, Viridiplantae, Streptophyta, Magnoliopsida, Poales, Poaceae. The transcript has 2 exons. The record is from RefSeq and is a predicted model, not a curated record.
UAUAAUCCACCACAAGGCUCAGCAAUACAAUCAACAGUUCCACUAAUUAUGGUCGUGUUUGUUUGGGCUUCUCUGCAGCUUGUGGCCACCAGAAUCCGCGUGGGCCAUCCAAACGCGCUGAUUCUUCAGUAGCGUUCCACCGAAGCGCUUCACAGAGAAGUUGGUCCGCAACGGUCCAAGAAAAGCGGCCACAACCUCGCUUCUCCGGAAAGCUGAGCUGCUUGUGCGGGGCUGUGGAGAAGAUUCCCCGUGAUCUCCAAUCCGGCUUCAAUUCUCUAGUUAUUCUUGGCGCUUGGAGCCUUUGGCGUCAUCGCAAUGACUGUGUGUUCAAUGGGAGAUCACCGAGCCUGGCGAGUGCUCUCACCCUCGCUGGCGAUGAGCUCAGGAUGUGGUGUAGUGCCGGGGCGAAAGGGUUGAACCUGCUUUCAACUCUUAUGUUUAUGCUUGACCCAGGGGGAUAGUCUAGUGGCUUGUUCAGAGUGGUUGUGUGCGGUUGCUGUGUUGCGUCUUGUGUCUUGUUGUGUCAUGUGUGUGUCGUGUGUGUUGUGUUGUACCUUCUUCUAUCUAUUAAUGGAAUGAUACGCAGAUCUCCUGCGUGUUCGAGAA